AGGAGCGCGGACCCAAGAUCGGCUACGCUGCGUCUGCUCAGGCUGCGAGUUCCCGGCUCUGGGGACUCACCUUGCGGAGCUUACCCAGGCGGACUCUCCGCAGCCCCUGAUGGGUGUGUGUGUCAGACCGUUUACUAAACACCAGGACUGUUGUAGGCGACUGUAAGAAAUAAGAAUAUUGCAUGGUUACAAUUCUUGAAUGCUUACCUUGUGUCUUGUUCCUUACUCUACAGAAAUUUUCUAAUCCCGUGGCGAACCCCCGUACUUCAACGUAUGACAUUCUGUAAAUCUACAAAACAGAUGGGUCCCUGCCUUUGAGAAGUUUUUACAAUUUAGUGGGUACUGGACACGGACCUAAUUUAAUUCUCACAUGCCUUCCCUUUCUAAUAAGCUGCAUGUUAUGUAUCCCUAUUCUACAGAUGUGGGGAAUCCGAAAUUUUUAGCUUUUACUGGGACACACAGCUAGCAAGCAACUAAAGCGAGAAUUCCAACCUGAGCUCCAAUCCGAACUAUUUUCAUAAAAGGCAGGAUCCCAGGCUGAGGGAGUUCGAGGUUUGGGAGACAGUUUAGCAGUCGCUGAGUCCAAACAUGUUGUUUUCCUAGAAAAGAAAACUGAGAUCCAGGAAAGGGAAGUGAUUUUCCAAAGACACACCUGUGAAAGCCGUGUUGAACCAUGAAAGGACCUCAGGAAUGAAACCCACACACAGCAAAGCAACAAAGUGAAAGAAGCGUGGAUUCCUAAUGCAGGAGGCACUGAACCAAUCAAUACCCACUGCCCUCCAGACCUCCACAUGAAAGAAAAAAACUGCUGUCCUGUGUAAGACACUUUUAUUUUGUGUUUCUAUUGUAUGAGGUCAAACCUAAUAACAGAUAUAUUACACUCUAACAGAUACAUUACAUUGUAUAGUAGAAUUCUCAGACAGCAACCUUAUAAGGUGAUAGAUGCAGAAACAGGCCCAAAGAGUAAAAAUAAUUUGUUCAGAGUUUUCCAGCCAAGUGGCGAAGGUGAGAUUCUUACCUGGGUUUGUCUGAAACCAAUUUUCACUAUCUUUUUCAGUUAUGAUACACUGCCUAUUACGAAUGAAUGAAUCCUUUUUUUUUUUUCCAUUUACUUCCAUUUGAUUCAUUUAUUCCAGGGAGUGACACUUUUUCUGUAAAGGACCGAUAGUAAAUAUUUUAGACUUUGUGAGCAAUACAGUCUCUGUUGCAACUACUCAACUU
RNAcentral lists this long non-coding RNA (1221 nucleotides) under Homo sapiens (human). Its description in RNAcentral is "non-protein coding lnc-JUN-6:5". The record is from RNAcentral. Lineage: Eukaryota; Metazoa; Chordata; Mammalia; Primates; Hominidae.